This 445-nucleotide ribosomal RNA is filed under the name uncultured bacterium. Its description in RNAcentral is "partial 16S ribosomal RNA". It matches the Rfam family "Bacterial small subunit ribosomal RNA", at positions 354 to 796 of the family's 1533-position model. The record is from RNAcentral.
GUGAGGAAUAUUGGUCAAUGGGCGGGAGCCUGAACCAGCCAAGUCGCGUGAAGGAAGAAGGAUCUAUGGUUCGUAAACUUCUUUUGCAGGGGAAUAAAGUGCAGGACGUGUCCUGUUUCGUAUGUACCCUGAGAAUAAGGAUCGGCUAACUCCGUGCCAGCAGCCGCGGUAAUACGGAGGAUCCGAGCGUUAUCCGGAUUUAUUGGGUUUAAAGGGUGCGUAGGUGGUUUGAUAAGUCAGCGGUGAAAGUUUGCAGCUUAACUGUAAAAAUGCCGUUGAAACUGUCGGACUUGAGUGUAAAUGAGGUAGGCGGAAUGCGUGGUGUAGCGGUGAAAUGCAUAGAUAUCACGCAGAACUCCGAUUGCGAAGGCAGCUUACUAAGCUACAACUGACACUGAAGCACGAAAGCGUGGGGAUCAAACAGGAUUAGAUACCCCGGUAGUCC